This 82-nucleotide transfer RNA is filed under the name Ixodes scapularis (black-legged tick). It matches the Rfam family "tRNA". From Rfam's summary of the family: Transfer RNA (tRNA) molecules are approximately 80 nucleotides in length. Their secondary structure includes four short double-helical elements and three loops (D, anti-codon, and T loops). Further hydrogen bonds mediate the characteristic L-shaped molecular structure. tRNAs have two regions of fundamental functional importance: the anti-codon, which is responsible for specific mRNA codon recognition, and the 3' end, to which the tRNAs corresponding amino acid is attached (by aminoacyl-tRNA synthetases). tRNAs cope with the degeneracy of the genetic code in two manners: having more than one tRNA (with a specific anti-codon) for a particular amino acid; and 'wobble' base-pairing, i.e. permitting non-standard base-pairing at the 3rd anti-codon position. Lineage: Eukaryota; Metazoa; Arthropoda; Arachnida; Ixodida; Ixodidae. The record is from Rfam by way of RNAcentral.
ACACUCGUGACCGAGUGUUUAAGGCGAUGGACUAAAAAUCCAUUGGGGUCUCCCCGCGCAGGUUCGAAUCCUGUCGACUGCG